Molecule: ribosomal RNA, 383 nt
Filed under: uncultured bacterium
Lineage: Bacteria
Description: bacterial SSU rRNA
Rfam family: Bacterial small subunit ribosomal RNA
Source: RNAcentral
GUAAAGCACUUUCAGUAGGGAGGAAGGUAGUGUAGUUAACACCUGCAUUAUUUGACGUUACCUACAGAAGAAGCACCGGCUAACUCCGUGCCAGCAGCCGCGGUAAUACGGAGGGUGCGAGCGUUAAUCGGAAUUACUGGGCGUAAAGCGCAUGCAGGCGGCCUGUUAAGUCAGAUGUGAAAGACCCGGGGCGUUAACCUCGGAAUUGCAUUUGAAACUGGCAGGCUAGAGUCUUGUAGAGGGGGGUAGGGAAGUUUCUAGGUGUAGCGGUGAAAUAGCGUAGAGAUCUGAAGGAAUACCAGUGGCGAAGGCGGCCCCCUGGACAAAGACUGACGCUCAGAUGCGAAAGCGUGGGGAGCAAACAGGAUUAGAUACCCUGGUAG